CAGUCGCCACGGUAAUACGGAGGGGGCUAGCGUUGUUCGGAAUUACUGGGCGUAAAGCGCACGUAGGCGGCUUUGUAAGUUAGAGGUGAAAGCCCGGAGCUCAACUCCGGAAUUGCCUUUAAGACUGCAGAGCUAGCAGGUGAGAGAGGUGAGUGGAAUUCCGAGUGUAGAGGUGAAAUUCGUAGAUAUUCGGAAGAACACCAGUGGCGAAGGCGGCUCACUGGCUCAUACUGGACGCUGAGGUGCGAAAGCGUGGGGAGCAAACAGGAUUAGAUACCCCCGUAGUCCCUGUCUCUUAUAC
Molecule: ribosomal RNA, 301 nt
Filed under: uncultured bacterium
Lineage: Bacteria
Description: partial 16S ribosomal RNA
Rfam family: Bacterial small subunit ribosomal RNA
Source: RNAcentral